This 253-nucleotide ribosomal RNA is filed under the name uncultured bacterium. Its description in RNAcentral is "partial 16S ribosomal RNA". It matches the Rfam family "Bacterial small subunit ribosomal RNA", at positions 524 to 776 of the family's 1533-position model. The record is from RNAcentral.
UACGGAGGGGGCUAGCGUUGUUCGGAAUUACUGGGCGUAAAGCGCACGUAGGCGGCUUCGUAAGUCAGAGGUGAAAGCCCGGGGCCCAACCCCGGAACUGCCGUUGAGACUGCGUCGCUCGAAUCCGGGAGAGGCGGGUGGAAUUCCCGGUGUAGAGGUGAAAUUCGUAGAUAUUGGGAAGAACGCCAGUGGCGAAGGCGGCGCGCUGGACCGGUAUUGACGCUGAGGUGCGAAAGCGUGGGGAGCAAACAGG